RNAcentral lists this ribosomal RNA (524 nucleotides) under uncultured bacterium. Its description in RNAcentral is "partial 16S ribosomal RNA". It matches the Rfam family "Bacterial small subunit ribosomal RNA", at positions 28 to 523 of the family's 1533-position model. The record is from RNAcentral.
GACGAACGCUGGCGGCGUGCUUAACACAUGCAAGUCGAACGAGACGAUUGAAAGCUUGCUUUUGAAAGUCGAGUGGCAAACGGGUGAGUAACGCGUGGACAACCUGCCUUUGAGAUGGGGACAACAGUUCGAAAGGACUGCUAAUACCGAAUGUUGUAUAUUUUCCACAUGGAAGAUAUAUUAAAGAUGGCCUCUAUUUAUAAGCUAUCGCUCAAAGAUGGGUCUGCGUCUGAUUAGCUAGUUGGUGGGGUAAUGGCCUACCAAGGCAACGAUCAGUAGCCGGUCUGAGAGGAUGAACGGCCACAUUGGGACUGAGACACGGCCCAGACUCCUACGGGAGGCAGCAGUGGGGAAUCUUCCACAAUGGACGAAAGUCUGAUGGAGCAACGCCGCGUGAGUGAAGAAGGGUUUCGGCUCGUAAAGCUCUGUUGUCGGGGACGAACGUGAGAUACUUGAAUAAAGUGUCUCAAUGACGGUACCUGACGAGGAAGCCACGGCUAACUACGUGCCAGCCGCCGCAGUAA